GAGAGUGCGCCGGCGGGUGGCUGAGGUU
RNAcentral lists this small RNA (28 nucleotides) under Bombyx mori (domestic silkworm). Its description in RNAcentral is "ovarian small RNA-15717". The record is from RNAcentral. Lineage: Eukaryota; Metazoa; Arthropoda; Insecta; Lepidoptera; Bombycidae.